CCCAAAACUCCCCAAUUCCCCCCAAAACCCCCCAAACCCCCCAAAAUCCCCCCAAAAACCAGAAACCCCUCAAAACCCCAAAAAGCCCCCAAAUCACCCCAACCCCCCCCCAGGACGCGGGAGGUGCCAGGGGAGCUCUUUGACUACGAGGCCGUGCACAACAUCGACCCCCUGGGCACCGACUUCUGCGUCCGCUUCCGCGAGGGCAUGCGGCACUGGAACAUGACCGUGCAGUGGUGGCUGGCACACUACAUCCACCGCCGCGCCCCCCGCAGCCCCCCCCGUGCUGAGGAGCGCCUGCACCAUGCUGGUCUCGGCCUACUGGCACGGGCUGCACCCCGGCUACUACCUGAGCUUCCUGAGCGUGCCGCUGUGGCUGGCGGCCGAGCGGGCGGCCGAGAAGGCCCUGGGGGGGCUGCUGGCCCCGGGGGGGCCACCGCUGGCCCGCGGCCUGCAGUGGUUCCUGAAGAUGCGCGCCUACGACUACCUCUGCAUGGGCUUCGUGCUGCUGGGCGCCCGCCACACGCUGCGCUACUGGGCCUCCGUCGGCUUCUGCCUCCACCUCCUGCCCCUCCUCAUCCUCGCCGCCGCUGCCGUGGCGGGGCCACGCCAGAAAGUGGCCCAAAAGUGAGGGAAAGUGGCCCAAAAGUGAGGGAAAGUGGCCCAAGAUGGACCCCCAAGGGACGCAAAACACCACAAAAUGGACUCCAAAGGGACACAAAACAACACAAAAGGGACACAAAACACCACAAAAUGGACUCCAAAAUGAUUAAAAGUACUCAAAACAAUCCCAAAGGACUCUAAAAUGCCCUGAAAUGGAUGCCAAGGGGACAGAAAAUGCCCCAAAGUGCUGAGAAUUGCCCCAAAA
This 868-nucleotide long non-coding RNA is filed under the name Anas platyrhynchos platyrhynchos (common mallard). Its description in RNAcentral is "lncRNA (ENSAPLG00000018098.1)". Lineage: Eukaryota; Metazoa; Chordata; Aves; Anseriformes; Anatidae. The record is from RNAcentral.